Molecule: ribosomal RNA, 202 nt
Filed under: uncultured bacterium
Lineage: Bacteria
Description: partial 16S ribosomal RNA
Rfam family: Bacterial small subunit ribosomal RNA
Source: RNAcentral
UGAAAUGACUGCUAAUACCGCAUAAGCGCACGAGAUCGCAUGAUAAAGUGUGAAAAACUCCGGUGGUAUGAGAUGGACCCGCGUCUGAUUAGCUGGUUGGCGGGGUAACGGCCCACCAAGGCGACGAUCAGUAGCCGGCCUGAGAGGGUGAACGGCCACAUUGGGACUGAGACACGGCCCAAACUCCUACGGAAGGCAGCAG